GUAGGUGGCAAGCGUUGUCCGGAGUUAUUGGGCGUAAAGCGCGCGCAGGCGGUUCUUUAAGUCUGAUGUGAAAGCCCACGGCUCAACCGUGGAGGGUCAUUGGAAACUGGAGAACUUGAGUACAGAAGAGGAAAGCGGAAUUCCACGUGUAGCGGUGAAAUGCGUGGAGAUGUGGAGGAACACCAGUGGCGAAGGCGGCUUUCCGGUCUGUAACUGACGCUGAGGCGCGAAAGCGUGGGGAGCAAACAGGGAUUAGAUACCCUGGUAGUCCACGCCGUAAACGAUGAGUGCUAGGUGUUAGGGGGUUUCCCGCCCCUUAGUGCUGCAGCUAACGCAUUAAGCACUCCGCCUGGGGAUACGGCCGCAAGGCUG
Molecule: ribosomal RNA, 372 nt
Filed under: uncultured organism
Description: partial 16S ribosomal RNA
Rfam family: Bacterial small subunit ribosomal RNA
Source: RNAcentral